Molecule: long non-coding RNA, 636 nt
Organism: Argentina anserina (silverweed cinquefoil)
Lineage: Eukaryota; Viridiplantae; Streptophyta; Magnoliopsida; Rosales; Rosaceae
Exons: 4
Source: RefSeq, a predicted model, not a curated record
GCGACAAGCACCGCCGCUUCUCAACUGCAAGGCCGCCGGCACCUCAAGCUCAUCAACGUCGAUUUGACAAUCCAAAGGUUCGAAUCAAGGUGAUCGCUAAAUCGAGGAAAGGGAUUAUUAUCGGAAAUUGAGGAAUUACGCUCAAGUCAAUAAGGGGAUAAUUCUGCAGGUGCUGAUUAGUGGUGGUUGAGUGACGACUACAGAGGCUCGAAGUCGUUCGGAUCCUACUUGUGGUGAUGAACGCUGAUAAGGGCCGAGGACAGGGCCGAGGACGGGCGAGAGGACGUGGUCGAGGUAGGACCGCGGGCCGAGUCCGCAACGUGGAGAACCUUUAUGAGGAGGCUGCUCCACAGGUAGAGCGGGUAGGCCGAGGUCGAGGUAGGGCCACAGGUCGAGUCCGCAACGUGGAGAACCUCUAUGAGGAGGCUGCUCCGCAGGAGGAGCAGGAUGAGCCAGCUCCUGCGGUUAGAGAUGACGGUCGAGUGUUGAAGCUGAUCAAGGAUAUUAGUGCACUGUCAGCUCCGACAUUUCAUGGGGGACUAGAUCACAUGGUAGCUGACCAUUGGAUCGAGGGUAUGGAGACUUAUUUUGAGAUGAUAGAGUGCACAGAGAUUGAGAAGAGAAAGAUAGCUACAU